AACCCCGGGAUUGGUCUCCUAACCAGCGCCUUCUUGCGGCGGACCCUCCGGUUCCUAAACCGUGUGUCGCAGGUUCGAAUCCUGCCGGGG
This 90-nucleotide transfer RNA is filed under the name Actinomycetota bacterium. RNAcentral's name for it is "tRNA-OTHER". Lineage: Bacteria; Bacillati; Actinomycetota. The record is from RNAcentral.